GAGUGUUAUAGCUCUUUCAGAAUUUGUCUAGCAGGCUUUCCGGUUUAUGCCGAAGAGCACCC
Pongo abelii (Sumatran orangutan) is the source of this 62-nucleotide small nuclear RNA. Its record names the gene U7. It matches the Rfam family "U7 small nuclear RNA". From Rfam's summary of the family: Animal histone pre-mRNAs are spliced by a different mechanism than nuclear pre-mRNAs and self-splicing introns. NCBI's taxonomy places the organism in Eukaryota, Metazoa, Chordata, Mammalia, Primates, Hominidae. The record is from Ensembl.